RNAcentral lists this ribosomal RNA (404 nucleotides) under uncultured bacterium. RNAcentral describes it as "bacterial SSU rRNA". It matches the Rfam family "Bacterial small subunit ribosomal RNA", at positions 355 to 776 of the family's 1533-position model. The record is from RNAcentral.
UGAGGAAUAUUGGACAAUGGGCGAAAGCCUGAUCCAGCAAUACCGCGUGAGUGAAGAAGGCCUUAGGGUUGUAAAGCUCUUUCAGCAGGGAAAAUAAUGAUGGUACCUGCAAAAGAAGUUCCGGCUAACUCCGUGCCAGCAGCCGCGGUAAUACGGAGGGAACUAGCGUUGUUCGGAUUUACUGGGCGUAAAGAGCGCGUAGGCGGUAUAUUAAGUUAGAAGUGAAAGCCUGGGGCUUAACCCCAGAACUGCUUCUAAAACUGGUAUACUAGAGUAUGGGAGAGGAUAGUGGAAUUCCUAGUGUAGAGGUGAAAUUCUUAGAUAUUAGGAGGAACACCGGUGGCGAAAGCGACUAUCUGGAACAUUACUGACGCUGAGGUGCGAAAGCGUGGGGAGCAAACAGG